CCUACGGGGGACAGCAGUAGGGAAUCUUCCACAAUGGGCGAAAGCCUGAUGGAGCAACGCCGCGUGGGUGAAGAAGGUCUUCGGAUCGUAAAACCCUGUUGUUAGAGAAGAAAGUGCGUGAGAGUAACUGUUCACGUUUCGACGGUAUCUAACCAGAAAGCCACGGCUAACUACGUGCCAGCAGCCGCGGUAAUACGUAGGUGGCAAGCGUUAUCCGGAUUUAUUUGGCGUAAAGGGAACGCAGGCGGUCUUUUAAGUCUGAUGUGAAAGCCUUCGGCUUAACCGGAGUAGUGCAUUGGAAACUGGGAGACUUGAGUGCAGAAGAGGAGAGUGGAACUCAAUGUGUAGCGGUGAAAUGCGUAGAUAUAUGGAAGAACACCAGUGGCGAAAGCGGCUCUCUGGUCUGUAACUGACGCUGAGGUUCGAAAGCGUGGGUAGCAAACAGGAUUAGAUACCCCAGUAGUC
RNAcentral lists this ribosomal RNA (465 nucleotides) under uncultured bacterium. RNAcentral describes it as "partial 16S ribosomal RNA". It matches the Rfam family "Bacterial small subunit ribosomal RNA", at positions 338 to 795 of the family's 1533-position model. The record is from RNAcentral.